GUCCACGCCGUAAACGAUGAUAACUAGCUGUCGGGGCUCAUGGAGUUUCGGUGGCGCAGCUAACGCGAUAAGUUAUCCGCCUGGGGAGUACGGCCGCAAGGUUAAAACUCAAAGAAAUUGACGGGGGCCUGCACAAGCGGUGGAGCAUGUGGUUUAAUUCGAAGCAACGCGCAGAACCUUACCAGCGUUUGACAUGGUAGGACGGUUUCCAGAGAUGGAUUCCUUCCCUUACGGGACCUACACACAGGUGCUGCAUGGCUGUCGU
This 265-nucleotide ribosomal RNA is filed under the name uncultured bacterium. Its description in RNAcentral is "partial 16S ribosomal RNA". It matches the Rfam family "Bacterial small subunit ribosomal RNA", at positions 793 to 1055 of the family's 1533-position model. The record is from RNAcentral.